CGAACUUGUAAAUACAUAGCCUCAAAACUGCAUCUAACUAUGCAAAUAUUAUAAAUUUAGCACUAGUUAUAGACACACAAACAUGAAAUAAAACUUGUACAAAAGAUCCCAGCUUAAAAGUAACAACUUAUCGAAAUAUUGAUUUACAAAAAGAUAACACUAUUUGUACAUAAUUUUUUGUACAUUCACAUGGAGUGGGGCCUACUAGAAUAAAAGAACAGGAAAGGUGAUUUCACUAUAAUUCUGACUAGGCACAAGCCCUAUCACAAGAAAUUUUUUUUUUUUUUUUAAUUGGGGCAAUAGCUCUGAAAAGACAAAUUGCAUGUCGGGAGAAAUACGAUCGAUAGGAGAUAAUUCAAACCAUCCGAUAAAACAAGUACAACCCCUACAUUCAAACCUCAUUUCUUACCAUUAGCGAGAACUUGUUAUUCGAGCGAACCCCAUCCCAUGUGAGUGUGAGACAUCUUGAUAUAUAAAAAAUUAUGUACACCGAGCGAAGCUUUUACAAAAUAAAAACAGAACGAGUACUGAAAUUGAUUUGGUCAAGAGUUCUCUACUGUCUAUAUAUAUCCAUACGUUUGUAUGCACGGGGCUGUGCUUCUUAGUGCUUGACCACCCUCUUGGUGUUUAUGAAAUGGUACAAACCAGGGUGGUUCGAUAAUAUUCUCUAUCAUCGUCCGACAAUCUCCAUUGGCAUCCCACCAUCUCAAAUGUCUCACACUCACACUCCAUUAUCUGCACUGAAGGUCAUAAUAUGACUGAAUAUUGACAUUCGGUGAGAUAAUUGUGGUUCAUAUUGUGAUUUUGCACAUAAUUUCAUUUUUAUUUU
This 829-nucleotide long non-coding RNA is filed under the name Olea europaea subsp. europaea. The record is from RNAcentral. Lineage: Eukaryota; Viridiplantae; Streptophyta; Magnoliopsida; Lamiales; Oleaceae.